UACGGAGGUGGCAAGCGUUACUCGGAAUCAUUGGGUGUAAAGGGCAAGUAGGCGGUCCAAUAAGUGAGGGUGAAAUACCCGCGACUCAAUCGCGGAACUGCCUUUCAAACUGUCGGACUUGAGGUAAGAAGAGGAAAAUGGAAUUCUCGGUGUAAGGGUGAAAUCUGUAGAUAUCGAGAAGAACACCAACGGCGAAGGCAAUUUUCUACUCUUAUCCUGACGCUAAAUUGCGAAAGCUAGGGGANCGAAC
RNAcentral lists this ribosomal RNA (250 nucleotides) under uncultured bacterium. RNAcentral describes it as "partial 16S ribosomal RNA". It matches the Rfam family "Bacterial small subunit ribosomal RNA", at positions 524 to 773 of the family's 1533-position model. The record is from RNAcentral.